UUUUAAGUCACAAAAAUGAUUUCUUCCCUUUCUUCAUUUCACGAAGAGGUUCUGUGGUUCAAUUAUUUCUCAGACUGUGACUUUGAUUAUGUAGGAAAUAGUUCCACUACCUGCUUGAAACAGAAACCUAGUAGAAGAGACUCAAAAGGUCAUCAUCACACUGCAAUGUUUGAGAUCAGCACUAGACUCUUUGGUUAGAAAAGGGAGACCACAGAAUGGGAAACUGAG
Molecule: long non-coding RNA, 228 nt
Filed under: Anas platyrhynchos platyrhynchos (common mallard)
Lineage: Eukaryota; Metazoa; Chordata; Aves; Anseriformes; Anatidae
Description: lncRNA (ENSAPLG00000021809.1)
Source: RNAcentral